CCAGCAAUGUCUUAUAUAUUUCAGGUAUCCACUUUCUGCCCAUUAAAAUCAGGGAAAAUUUGAAGCCCUUCAGCUAUUGUGACAACGACCUGGAGUUUGAUGGCAAAGCCAUCUUCUCAAUUGUUGCCAGCUCCCUCUAUCUUCUCGUCAUCGUAGUGGCAACCUCAUACGAUGUCAUCACCAACAAUUUUCUCACACCAAAGACAAAAGGCGCUGGCACAGUUGAGAAAAACGGUGCACUGCCCAUGCAGAACGGAACAGGAAGCCAGGUAGUUUUGACCCAGAAAGAUGAAAAAGUGGAACCAAGUCUUGGAGUAAAACUUCUGGAGUGUUUCUCCAUUUACCAUAAUGGCGCAAAAUUCCUGAACACCAACCAAAGUGAGGGCACGCUAAGCUGUAUUCAUGGGGUUCGGUUCCUCAGUAUGUCAUGGGUCCUUCUGGGACAUGUCUAUGUGUUUGGCAUAACGAUUUU
Long non-coding RNA from Octopus bimaculoides (California two-spot octopus), 472 nucleotides. NCBI's taxonomy places the organism in Eukaryota, Metazoa, Mollusca, Cephalopoda, Octopoda, Octopodidae. The record is from RefSeq and is a predicted model, not a curated record.